This 274-nucleotide ribosomal RNA is filed under the name uncultured gamma proteobacterium SUR-ATT-2. Its description in RNAcentral is "partial 16S ribosomal RNA". RNAcentral also lists the same sequence under 1 other name. The record is from RNAcentral. Lineage: Bacteria; Pseudomonadati; Pseudomonadota; Gammaproteobacteria.
GGUUACCUUGUUACGACUUCACCCCAGUCAUGAAACACAAACUGGUAAUCGUCCUCCCGAAGGUUAGACUAACUACUUCUUUUGCAUCCCACUCCCAUGGUGUGACGGGCGGUGUGUACAAGGCCCGGGAACGUAUUCACCGCAGUAUUCUGACCUGCGAUUACUAGCGAUUCCGACUUCAUGGAGUCGAGUUGCACACUCCAAUCCGGACUACCACAUUCUUUAUUGGGUCCGGUCCACAUCACGGUCUCGCUUCCCUCUGUCAAUGCCAUUG